Molecule: ribosomal RNA, 383 nt
Filed under: uncultured eukaryote
Lineage: Eukaryota
Description: partial 18S ribosomal RNA
Rfam family: Eukaryotic small subunit ribosomal RNA
Source: RNAcentral
CAAUAGCGUAUAUUAAAGUUGUUGCAGUUAAAAAGCUCGUAGUUGGAUUUCUGGUGGGAGCGAUCGGUCUGGCGCUUAGCGCGAGUACUUGCAUCGUCUCCGGCCAUCCUUGGGGAGAGUCUGUCUGGCAUUAGGUUGUCGGGCAGAGGAUCCUCAUCGUUUACUGUGAAAAAAUUAGAGUGUGCAAAGCAGGCUUAUGCCGUUGAAUAUAUUAGCAUGGAAUAAUAAGAUAGGACUUUGGUACUAUUUUGUUGGUUUGCGCACCAAAGUAAUGAUUAAUAGGGACAGUUGGGGGUAUUCGUAUUCCGUUGUCAGAGGUGAAAUUCUUGGAUUUACGGAAGACGAACUACUGCGAAAGCAUUUACCAAGGAUGUUUUCAUUAA